AGUGAACGCUGGCGGUAGGCCUAACACAUGCAAGUCGAACGGCAGCACAGUGAGAGCUUGCUCUUACGGGUGGCGAGUGGCGGACGGGUGAGGAAUACAUCGGAAUCUACUUUUUCGGGGGGGAUAACGUAGGGAAACUUACGCUAAUACCGCAUACGACCUACGGGUGAAAGCAGGGGAUCUUCGGACCUUGCGCGAUUGAAUGAGCCGAUGUCGGAUUGGCUAGGUGGGGGGGUAAAGGACCACCCAGGCGACGAUUCGUAGCCGGUCCGAGAGGAUGAUUCGGCACACCUGAACUUAGACACCGUCCAGACCCCUACGGGAGGCCGCAGGUGGGAAUUUUUGGCCAUGGGCGGAAGGCUGACUCCGGCCCGCCGCGUGGGUUAAGAAGGUCUUCCGGUUGUAAAACCCUUUUGUUGGGAAAGAAAAGCAGCAGGUUAAUACCCCGCUGUUCUGACGGUACCCAAAGAAUAAGCACCGGCUAACUUCGUG
This 492-nucleotide ribosomal RNA is filed under the name uncultured bacterium. RNAcentral's name for it is "partial 16S ribosomal RNA". It matches the Rfam family "Bacterial small subunit ribosomal RNA", at positions 29 to 507 of the family's 1533-position model. The record is from RNAcentral.